RNAcentral lists this ribosomal RNA (303 nucleotides) under uncultured bacterium. RNAcentral's name for it is "partial 16S ribosomal RNA". It matches the Rfam family "Bacterial small subunit ribosomal RNA", at positions 507 to 807 of the family's 1533-position model. The record is from RNAcentral.
AGCAGUCGCCACGGUAAAACGUAGGUGGCAAGCGUUGUCCGGAAUUAUUGGGCGUAAAGGGCUCGCAGGCGGUUUCUUAAGUCUGAUGUGAAAGCCCCCGGCUCAACCGGGGAGGGUCAUUGGAAACUGGGAAACUUGAGUGCAGAAGAGGAGAGUGGAAUUCCACGUGUAGCGGUGAAAUGCGUAAAGAUGUGGAGGAACACCAGUGGCGAAGGCGACUCUCUGGUCUGUAACUGACGCUGAGGAGCGAAAGCGUGGGGAGCGAACAGGAUUAGAUACCCCGGUAGUCCCUGUCUCUUAUAC